RNAcentral lists this ribosomal RNA (487 nucleotides) under uncultured bacterium. RNAcentral's name for it is "partial 16S ribosomal RNA". It matches the Rfam family "Bacterial small subunit ribosomal RNA", at positions 29 to 507 of the family's 1533-position model. The record is from RNAcentral.
AAUGAACGCUAGCGAUAGGCUUAACACAUGCAAGUCGAGGGGCAGCACAGGGUAUCUUGCUGUCUGGGUGGGGACCGGCUCAGGGUUUGGUAAUGGGUUUGCAACUUCCCUUAGACAGGAGUAUAACCCCCGGAAGAUCGGCCUAAUCCUACGAUUUCUCACAACUGGGCAUCAAGGGGUGGGGAAAGCAAUUCGGUAUGGUAAAGGCUUGCUUCCGCUUAGCUUGUUGGUGAGGUAACGGCUCACCAAGGCAACGAUGGGCAGGGGAACUGAGAGGUUAUUCCCCGACAUUAGUACUGAGACACGGACCAGAGUCCUACGGGAGGCAGCAGUGAGGAACAUUGGGCAAUGGGCGCGAGCCUGAACCAGCCAAGUCGCGUGAAGGAUGACUGUCUUAUGGAUUGUAAACUUCUUUUAUACGGGAAUAACAAGAGUACCGUGUGACUCACUGACUGUACCGGAUGAAUAAGCACCGGCUAACUCCGUG